AUGGCGUCGGCGCCGGUGGAGUUCCUGGGCGCGCGGGAGGGCGGGGUCGGCGGGGACGCGCUCUACUGCGCCAUCAUCCUGUGGCUGUCCGUCAUGUCGUGGAUCAUCUUCACCUGCGUCGGCGGCGACGACGGCGGCAGGCGCCGGAGGGGCCGCCGGGACACCAAGGUCUUCGUCGGCGCCGAGCGCCUCUGCGACGGCACCGGGCCCCACUGCAGCGGCGGGUACGGCCUCUGCGGCUCCUGCGUCGACUAG
This 255-nucleotide ribosomal RNA is filed under the name Triticum aestivum (bread wheat). Its description in RNAcentral is "partial small subunit ribosomal RNA". Lineage: Eukaryota; Viridiplantae; Streptophyta; Magnoliopsida; Poales; Poaceae. The record is from RNAcentral.